GCCAGUUUUUUAAAGUUAAUCUCUACACCCAACGUGAGGCUCGAACUCACAACCCUGAGAUCAAGAGUCACAUGCUCUACCAACUGAGCUGGC
Molecule: small nucleolar RNA, 93 nt
Filed under: Panthera tigris altaica (Amur tiger)
Lineage: Eukaryota; Metazoa; Chordata; Mammalia; Carnivora; Felidae
Source: RNAcentral